Molecule: ribosomal RNA, 300 nt
Filed under: uncultured Desulfurococcus sp.
Lineage: Archaea; Thermoproteati; Thermoproteota; Thermoprotei; Desulfurococcales; Desulfurococcaceae
Description: bacterial SSU rRNA
Rfam family: Bacterial small subunit ribosomal RNA (bases 52-300)
Source: RNAcentral
GGAAGGGAGGGGGAAGCGGCUGGGGGAAGGCGGAGGGGGGAGUCGUGGGCUGGAAUUGUUGGGCGUAUAGAGCUCGUGGGCGGUUUGUGGGGUCUGUGGUGAAAGACCAGGGCUUAACCGUGGGUCGGCGGUUGAGACGGGCAGACUAGAGGCAGGUAGGGGAGAACGGAAUUCCCGGUGUAGCGGUGAAAUGCGCAGAUAUCGGGAGGAACACCGGUGGCGAAGGCGGUUCUCUGGGCCUGUACUGACGCUGAGGAGCGAAAGCGUGGGGAGCGAACAGGAUUAGAUACCCGUGUAGUC